UACGGAGGAUGCGAGCGUUAUCCGGAUUUAUUGGGUUUAAAGGGUGCGUAGGCGGAUCGUUAAGUCAGUGGUCAAAUUGAGGGGCUCAACCCCUUCCCGCCAUUGAAACUGGCGUUCUUGAGUGGAAGAGAAGUAUGCGGAAUGCGUGGUGUAGCGGUGAAAUGCAUAGAUAUCACGAAGAACUCCGAUUGCGAAGGCAGCUUACCAGUCUGCGACUGACGCUCAGGCACGAAAGUGUGGGUAUCGAACAGG
Molecule: ribosomal RNA, 252 nt
Filed under: uncultured Bacteroidales bacterium
Lineage: Bacteria; Pseudomonadati; Bacteroidota; Bacteroidia; Bacteroidales
Description: partial 16S ribosomal RNA
Rfam family: Bacterial small subunit ribosomal RNA
Source: RNAcentral